AGUGAACGCUGGCGGUAGGCCUAACACAUGCAAGUCGAACGGCAGCACAGUAAGAGCUUGCUCUUACGGGUGGCGAGUGGCGGACGGGUGAGGAAUACAUCGGAAUCUACUUUUUCGUGGGGGAUAACGUAGGGAAACUUACGCUAAUACCGCAUACGACCUACGGGUGAAAGCAGGGGAUCUUCGGACCUUGCGCGAUUGAAUGAGCCGAUGUCGGAUUAGCUAGUUGGCGGGGUAAAGGCCCACCAAGGCGACGAUCCGUAGCUGGUCUGAGAGGAUGAUCAGCCGCACUGGAACUGAGACACGGUCCAGACUCCUACGGGAGGCAGCAGUGGGGAAUAUUGGACAAUAGGCGCAAGCCUGAUCCAGCCAUACCGCGUGGGUGAAGGAGGCCUUCGGGUUGUAAAGCCCUUUUGUUGGGAAAGAAAAGCAGCAGGUUAAUACCCCGCUGUUCUGACGGUACCCAAAGAAUAAGCACCGGCUAACUUCGUG
RNAcentral lists this ribosomal RNA (492 nucleotides) under uncultured bacterium. Its description in RNAcentral is "partial 16S ribosomal RNA". It matches the Rfam family "Bacterial small subunit ribosomal RNA", at positions 29 to 507 of the family's 1533-position model. The record is from RNAcentral.